Molecule: ribosomal RNA, 273 nt
Filed under: uncultured Staphylococcus sp.
Lineage: Bacteria; Bacillati; Bacillota; Bacilli; Caryophanales; Staphylococcaceae
Description: partial 16S ribosomal RNA
Rfam family: Bacterial small subunit ribosomal RNA
Source: RNAcentral
ACGUUAGCGGCGGACGGGUGAGUAACACGUGGGUAACCUACCUAUAAGACUGGGAUAACUUCGGGAAACCGGAGCUAAUACCGGAUAAUAUUUCGAACCGCAUGGUUCGAUAGUGCAAGAUGGUUUUGCUAUCACUUAUAGAUGGACCCGCGCCGUAUUAGCUAGUUGGUAAGGUAACGGCUUACCAAGGCGACGAUACGUAGCCGACCUGAGAGGGUGAUCGGCCACACUGGAACUGAGACACGGUCCAGACUCCUACGGGAGGCAGCAGCC